CCGUAAAAGAUAAGGAAAAAGAAAGUUUUCAAAUUCAAAACUCCCUACAUUACCGUAUUUCGGAGUAAAAAUAAAUCGACCAUGAAAGUGCUCCUCAAAGACUUUACGUUGCUCAUCAUAAGCAAGAAGUCUUAUCAAAUCUAGAGGGUUAGACUCCAAAGAUUAAGUUCCUUGGUUUCUUUGAGUCACAUUUUUGCGUUGCUUCUUUGAUCUAGAAGAGGAAGCCAUGGAUUGAGGUUUUUGAGUUUUUAGGUUUUUGGGUUUUCGGGAUUUGGGGGUUUUUGAUUUAAGUCACUAAACACGAA
Molecule: long non-coding RNA, 305 nt
Filed under: Lupinus angustifolius (narrow-leaved blue lupine)
Lineage: Eukaryota; Viridiplantae; Streptophyta; Magnoliopsida; Fabales; Fabaceae
Description: long non-coding RNA (LANG_LNC001945)
Source: RNAcentral